GAUGAACGCUAGCUACAGGCUUAACACAUGCAAGUCGAGGGGCAGCAUGAACUUAGCUUGCUAAGUUUGAUGGCGACCGGCGCACGGGUGAGUAACACGUAUCCAACCUUCCGUUUACUCAGGGAUAGCCUUUCGAAAGAAAGAUUAAUACCUGAUGGUAUGGUGAGAUUGCAUGAUAGCACCAUUAAAGAUUUAUUGGUAAACGAUGGGGAUGCGUUCCAUUAGGUAGUAGGCGGGGUAACGGCCCACCUAGCCGACGAUGGAUAGGGGUUCUGAGAGGAAGGUCCCCCACAUUGGAACUGAGACACGGUCCAAACUCCUACGGGAGGCAGCAGUGAGGAAUAUUGGUCCAAUGGGCGAGAGCCUGAACCAGCCAAGUAGCGUGAAGGA
RNAcentral lists this ribosomal RNA (390 nucleotides) under uncultured bacterium. Its description in RNAcentral is "bacterial SSU rRNA". It matches the Rfam family "Bacterial small subunit ribosomal RNA", at positions 28 to 408 of the family's 1533-position model. The record is from RNAcentral.